UGAAGGUCAAGUAACCUGGUUUGGUUAUGAAAGUCCUCGUAGCUUCUGGGACUAUAUCAGAGUGGCUUGCCGGAAAGUUUCACAGAAUUGUAUCUGCAGCAUUGAAAAUAUGGAAAAUGUCAGUUCUUCUAGAGCUAAGGGUAGAGCCUGGAUCAGAGUAGCACUCAUGGAAAAACAUUUAUCUGAAUACAUCUCUACAGCUCUGAGAGACUUCAAAACAACCAGGAGAUUUUAUGAAGAUGGAGCAAUUGUCUUGGGUGAAGAAGCAAAUAUGCUUGCUGGCAUGCUUCUAGGACUCAAUGCUAUUGAUUUCAGUUUCUGCCUAAAGGGAGAGGGGCUGGAUGGCAGUUUUCCUGCUGUAAUAGACUAUACACCAUAUUUGAAGUAUAUCCAAAGUUCUGAUAGUAUCAGCAGUGAUGAGGAGGAGCUAAGGACUUUGGGAAGCAGUGGUAGCGAAAGCAGUACUCCAGAGAAUGUCGGACCUCCUUUCCUCAUGGAUGAGAACAGUUGGUUCAACAAGUGUAAGAGAGUUAAACAAAAGUAUCAGCUUACCCUGGAACAGAAGGGUUACCUUGAAGAACUCUUACGACUUCGAGAGAACCAACUAUCUGAAUCUGUCUCCCAGAAUAAAAUACUACUUCAAAGGAUUGAAGAUUCUGAUCUGGCUCAUAAACUGGAGAAGGAACAAUUAGAAUAUAUAAUUGUGGAGCUUCAAGAUCAGCUGAAAAGUUAUCAAAGUCUUGACCAGUUAUCAGCAGAAGUUAGCCUUUCUCAGACUUCACUAGAUCCAGGCCAGUCACAAGAAGGAGAUGGAAAACAAGACACAUUAAAUGUAAUGAGUGAAGGUAAAGAAGAUACUCCCUCAUUACUUGGCCUCUGUGGAUCUCUAACGUCAGUGGCAAGUUACAAGUCUCUAACAAGCUUAAAAUCUAAUGACUACCUUGCAAGUCCUACAACAGAGAUGACAAGUCCAGGCCUAACUCCAUCCUGAAAAUUUUUGUGUAAAAGCCAAAACUUUUUAUGUUGUAAAUGUUUAAUUUACAUGUUUGACUGCUGGGAAGACCUUUGAAAUUUUAUAUUGUUCUGGUACAUGUCUGAAAUUCUAUUGCUUGGAGAGAAUCCCCUCCAGUUAAGAGAUUUUGAGUGAAAAACAUAAUGAUCCUGCCAUUUUUCAUUUUUAAAAUUCUUACAUUUGUCAUUGAGAAAGUUCAAAAUGGAAUAGGCUUUAAAAAAAAAAACUUUCAAAGAUCCGCCAAAUCAUUCAUAGCAAAUUGUACAUAUUGUUCAGCUGAUUUUUAUAUAUUUAAAUACACCUUAGUGGCCAGAGACUGACUUCAAGGUUUUAUUCCAGAGACUCCAGAGACUUAAGCUAAGUAUUUUUUCAUUCUUUCAGAUUUUCAAAAAAAAAAAAAAAAAGUUAAUUUCAUUUUUUCAUUAAUGUCUUCCUAAGUUCUAUGCUUUAAAUGCCUUGUUUUUAAUAACGGGAAAGUUCUCAGCUGCAUUUUCACAGUGGCUUAUUCAGUUUUUCUUUAAUAUUUACCAUUUGGUAUCAAUUCAGCAUUCCACUUAACAUUUUAUAAAUUCUAUAGGAAUAUGCCUGUUUUGGUAGUUACUGACUUAAUUUGUUAGUGCCACAAGGAAAAUAUUUUACAGUAUUUUAUGCCAUUUAGGUAAAAUGAAUAAACUGUUUUCCAAGAUUUUCUUAAAAGAUUAUCAAUUUAAAAGUAUGAUCAAGUAUGCCUCAAAAACUAGAAACAUUUCAAAAUGUAGAACAAACGUUGAAAAAUUGUUUUGCCAGGAAAGAGUUCAAGUUCAGUUAAGGAUUUGAGAGGCUUUUAAACAAGGAUCAGUAGGAUAGUUAUCAUAUUUACUUAAUAUAUGUCUGAUAUUCAGUGCUGGUUCUUUUUCCUGUUUGUGCAACAAUGAAGUGUGUCAUGUGUGUUUUAUAGCCUCUAUCAUUAAUCACACCAGAGUCUCAUUUUAAAACAUUUUAAUGUUAAAACAUCCCCACACUUAUACACAGGUAAAAUUAGUUUUUUUUUUUAAAGUUGUAAUCUGUACUUUUUUUUUUUUUGCAAUUUUUGAAACAGCUACAUUAAUCCCUAAAAAUCCCACCAUACUGAAAAUGUAUGGCGUGUAUUUUCUAUAGUAAGUAAUAUGAGGAAAACAUGAUUAGCUGUGCCAAAGAAAUUUUAUACAUUGUUUACAUGAUGAGGCCACAGUACUUACUGAGGACUUCAUAUGGUUGUUUUGUUUAUUAUUAUUGAGAAGAGUUAAGAGCUGAGGUUACCACAUUCAUUCUUUGUGUUAGAAAUAUAGGAGUGUGGUGGUUUUCUGCAAUAUUUAGAGCUUAGUCUCAUAAUUUGGAAUUUAAGAUAAUAAGUAGUAACAAGGCAAGUCUUUUAUGUAAGACAGUCAAACAGUGUCACUUCAGGGACAAAGGCCUGGAAGCCCUUAAAAUAAGUUAUCUUAGAUGUGCCAGAACAUAUUCAGAGCUUUAUUCCUUUAAGCUUAAAGCUUCAAUACUUGUAGAAAUGCAAAUAUUCUUGAGAAAUGAUACAUUUUUGUUCUCAAUUUCUCAAUUCUACAUACCUGAUUAUGAGUGAAGUAUCCAAAGCAGGUUUUCAUCAGCAUGGGGGAUGGAAGGUAGGUAUAAUAUGAGGACAAUGGAAACUUUGGGAGAAGGGAGUGAGGAAAUGGAUAAAGAGAAAUUUGAAAAUUUUAGGCUGGACUUGAGCACUAUUGCUGCUUUCCUAUGAACUAUCAGAAUGUUUAAAUGCUUUAUCAUUCAUGGUCCACUCUCAACCAACAUUUAUUAUCCUUUAGUAAUUAAACAAUGGUUUUACAUACAUUUUUAUAAUGUAGAAGGAAAUUCAAGAUUCCAUAAUCGUAAAAUUUUUCAGAUUUGUCUAAUGUGUAAUUUGUGCAUCUUCACAUGCUGCUAAAUGCAGAUUUAAACAUUACAUCUGAGGAUCAUGACUUUUCCUCCUUUCUUGGAGAUCUUGGUAUAAAAUUCAUCUGCUGUUAUAAAAUCAGGUUUCUACAGAGUUCGUUUCACACUAAAGGUAGUUUGUUACUGUUUGCAUGAGGAAACCAUGUAUGUCUCAAUCUUUAAUUUUAGGUGGUAGUGUUUAUUGUUCACCCUCCCUCUUGCCUCCAAAAGAAUGCUGAAUUAUACGCCAAUAUUUCCAUGUGUAUUCUGUUGCCUUGAUGCGUACUAUACUUGUUGCAUGUAUAUUAAAAAUUUUGUACU
RNAcentral lists this small RNA (3253 nucleotides) under Pan troglodytes (chimpanzee). RNAcentral describes it as "retained intron". Lineage: Eukaryota; Metazoa; Chordata; Mammalia; Primates; Hominidae. The record is from RNAcentral.